CUUAAGAAGGUUUUCUUAUUUCUCCUUGCUAUUCUCUGGAACUCUGCAUUCAGUAUAUUUUCCCCUUUCUCCUUUGCGUUUCACUUCUCUUCUUUUUCCAGCUACUUGUAAAGCCUCCUCAGACAGCCACUCUAUCUUCUCACAUUUCUUUUUCUUGGACCUCCCUGGUGGCUCAGAUGGUAAUCCCCAGAGCAACCAUUAAAUGAAAUCAUACAAAGAGGGAUAGCUGAAGACUCAAUACAGAAUAUAGAAUACUAAUUCCAAGUGGCAAAAUGUGAAAAAAUAACCUAAAAUAAGAUAGAAGAACAAGGGUUAGAUGGGACAGUAGAAAGCAAGUGUCUUGAACAGAUAUUUUAAGAAAGAAGCUAUCUGGUUAGGAAAAAAACACAUGAAAAAGUGGUCAACAUUCAUCGUCAUCAGAGAAAUACAAAACUGCAACAAGAUACCACUACACACCCAGCAGUGGGGCCAUAGUUAAAACUACUGACAAUGCUAAAUGUGGUCAAGAAUAUAGAGCUAGAACUCUGAAAUUACUGGCAGAAUGUACAUGUAUAGGCACCCUUGUUAUUUAUUUUGGGGGGGCCAUGCCACCUGGCUUGUGGGAUCUCAGUUCCCCAACCAGGGAUUGAACCCAGGCCUCAGCAGUGAAAAUCUGGAAUCUUAACCACUGGGUGACCAGGGAACUCCCUAGGUACACCUUGUUUUAUUGUGCUUUAAUUUUUUUUUUUCUUUUCACUUUUUGGCUGCUUCGCAUGGUGUGAUAUGUGGGAUCCCAGCUCCCCAACUGGAACUACCGCAACUCCCGCAGUGGAAGCCAGAGUCUUAACCUCUGAACUUCCAUGGAAGUCCCUGUGAUCAGUGACCUUUGAUGUUACUAUUAUAAUUGUUUUGAGGCAUAGUGAACCAGAUCUACAUAAGACUGCAAAUUUAAUGUGUGUGUAAUCUGGCUGCUUCCCCUGUGGACUGUCCUUCUGUCUUUCCCUCUCCUCGGGCCUCCCUGUUCCCUGGGAUGCAAUAUUGAAAUUAGGCCAAUUAUUAAUGAUAACCCUACAAUGACCUCUAAGUGUUCAAGUGAAAGGAAGAGUCACAUGUCCCUCAAUUUAAAUACAAGACUAGAAAUGAUUAAGCUUAGUGAGAAAGGCAUGUGGAAAGCUCAGACAGGCUGAAAAGUAGGCCUCUGGCACAGAACAGUUAGCCAAGUUGUGAAUUGAGAAGAAAAGUUUCUGAAAGAAAUUAAAAGUGUGACUCAUGGACACAUGAGUAAUGAGAAAGUGAAGCAGCCUUACUGCUGACAUGGAGAAUGUCUCAGCGGUCUGGAGAGAAGACCAAAUGAGCCACAGCAUCCCUUUAAGCCAAAAAGUGAAAGUUGCUCAGUUGUAAACUUUGCGACCCCACGGACUAUGGCCUGCCAGGCCCCUGUCCAUAUAGUUCUCCAGGCAAGAAUACUGGAGUGGGGUCUUCCCAAUCCAGGGACUGACCCUGAGUCUCUUGCAUUGCAGGCAGAUUCUUUACCAUCUGAGCCACCAGGGAAGCCCUCCCUUAAGCCAAAGCCCAAUCCUAAUCAAAGCCCCAGCUCUCUUCACUUCUGAGAAGCCUGAAGAAGGUGAGAAAGCUGCAGAAGAACAGUGUGAAGCUGGCAGAGGUUGGUUCCUGAGGUUUAAGGAAUGACGGUCUCUCCACAACAGAGAACUGCAAGGGUCUUAGCUCCCUGAUGAGGGAUUGAACCUGAACCCUUGGCAGUGAAAACGCCCAGUCCUAACCACUGGACUGUCAGGGAACACCUUUAUAAUGGAAGAAGAUUCCAUAUAGGACUUUCAGAGCUGGAGACGAGAAGUCAAUGCCUCAGAGGACAGGCAGACUUUCUUGUUAGGGGCUAAAGCAGCUGGUGACUUCAAGAUGAAACUGAAGUUCUUUUACCAUUUCCAAAACCCUGAGGCCCUUCAGAAUUAUGCUAAAUCUACUCUGUCCAUGCUUUAUAAAUGGAAUGACAAAGUCUGGAUGAUGCACAGUACCUUACAACAUGGUUUGCUGAGUAUUUUAAUCCCACUGCUGAAAACUACUGCCCAGAAAAAAAAAGAUUCCUUUCAAAAUAUUACUGCUCACUGAUGAUAUACCUGGUCACCCAAGAGCACUGAUGAAGAUGUACAAUGAAAUUUGUGUUGUUUUCAUGCCUGCUGAUGCAGCAGCCAUUUUUUUUUUGAAAAAAUUAUUUACUUAUUUUUGAUUGCACUGGGUUUUCAUUGCCACGUGUGGGCUUUCUCUAGUUGCACACGGGCUUCUCAUUGCAAUGGCUUCUCUUGUGGAGCACAGGCUCUAGGCACACAGGCUUCAUCAGUUAAGAGGCACGAGUUUAGCUGCUCUGAAGCAUGUGGGAUCUUCCCGGACCAGGGAUCAAACCCAUAUCCCCUGCAUUGGCAGUCAGCUUCUUAUCCAUUGUACCACCAGGGAAGUCCCACAGCAUCCAUUCUGCAACACACGGAUUAAGGAGUAAUUUCGAUUUUCGAGUUUUAUUGUUUAAGAUAUACAUUUCAUAUGCUAUAGCUGCCAUAGAUUGUCAUUCCUCUGAUGGACCUGGGUAACGUACAGUUGACCCUUGAACAAUACAGGGACUGGGGAUUCCAACCCUCCUCACAGUCGAAAAUCUGUGUAGUGCUAUCUCAGUACUUCAGUGGAGGAAGUAACUGUAGAUGUGGCGGAAAUAGCAAGAGAACUAGAAGUAAAACCUCAGACUUGCCUGGUGGUCCAGUGGUUAAGAAUCUGCCUGUCAAUGUAGGGACACAGGUUCAAUCCCUGGUCUGGGAAGAUCCCACAUGUCACGGAGCAACUAAGCCUUCGUGCCACAGCUACUGAAACCCAUGCUCUAGAGCCCAUGUUCUGCAAUGAAAAGCCACCAUAAUAAGAAGCUCCCACACUGCAAUUAGAGAGUAGCCUCUGUUUGUCACAGCUAGAGAAAAGCCCGUGUGUGCAUGCUAAGUCGCUUCAGUUGUGUCUGACUCUUUUCGACCCCAUGGACUCCAAGCUCCUCUGUCCAUGGGAUUAUCCAGGCAAGAAUACUGGAGUGGGUUGCCAUGUCCUCCUCCAGGGGAGUUUUCCCAACCCAAGGAUCAAACCUGCAUUUCCUGCAACUCCUGCACUGCAGGUGGAUUUUUUACUGCUGAGCCACUGGGGAAGUCUAGAGGAAAACCCACACAGCAACAAAGACCCAGCACAGCCCAAAAUAAAAAUAAAUAAAUAAAAUUUUUUUUUUUAAAGUGGAGCCUGAAGAUGUGACUGAGUUGCUGCAGUCUCAUGAUAACACUUUAAUAGAUGGGGAGUUGCUUCUUAUGGAUGAGCAAAGAAAGUGGUUUCUUGAGAUGGAAUCUACUCCUGGUAAAGAUGCUAUGGAGAUUGUUGAAAUUACAACAAAGGAUUUAGGAUAUGACAGAAACUUGGUUGAUAAAGCAGUAGCACGGUCCAGGAGGACUGACUCCAAUGUGGAAAGUUUUACCAUUGAUAAAAUGUUAUCAAACCGUAUCACAUGCUACGAGAAAUCAUUCGUGAAAGGAAGAGUCAAUUGAUGUGGCACACUUCAUUGUUGUCUUAUUUUAAGAAAUUGCACAACCAUCCCACCUUCAGCAACAACCACCAGGCAUCAACACAGAGGCGAGACCCUCCACCAGGAUAAAGAUUACAACUCACUGAUGAUGGUUAUCACAACUUCUAUAUGCACUGGGAAACCAAAAAAAUUCACAUGACUUACUUUAUUGUGGUAUCUGCUUUAUCACAGCGAUCUGGAACCGAACCUGCAAUAUCUCCAAGGUGUGCCUAUAUAGCCAUUUUGGAAAGCGCUUGACCGUUUGUUAUAAAGUUAAAUGUACACCU
Molecule: long non-coding RNA, 3861 nt
Organism: Bos taurus (domestic cattle)
Lineage: Eukaryota; Metazoa; Chordata; Mammalia; Artiodactyla; Bovidae
Source: Ensembl